Molecule: ribosomal RNA, 534 nt
Filed under: Clostridioides difficile
Lineage: Bacteria; Bacillati; Bacillota; Clostridia; Peptostreptococcales; Peptostreptococcaceae
Description: bacterial LSU rRNA
Rfam family: Bacterial large subunit ribosomal RNA
Source: RNAcentral
UGGUCAAGUUAUUAAGGGUGCAGGGCGGAUGCCUUGGCACUAGGAGCCGAUGAAGGACGUGAUAAGCUGCGAUAAGCUUCGGGGAGUUGCACGUAAACUUUGAUCCGAAGAUUUCCGAAUGAGGAAACUCACUUAGAGUAAUGUCUAAGUAUCAUUAAGUGAAUACAUAGCUUAAUGAGGGGAACUCAGGGAACUGAAACAUCUAAGUACCUGAAGGAAGAGAAAGAAAUUCGAUUCCGUAAGUAGCGGCGAGCGAACGCGGAUUAGCCCAAACUAAUAAAGUUUUCUUUAUUGGGGUUGCGGAAAUAUCAUAACGAAGAGGUAUCGUAAUUGAAGAGGUUUGGAAAGACCCACCACAGAAGGUAAUAGUCCUGUAUGUUAAACGAGAAGACUUUAGAUAUGAUCCAGAGUACCACGGGACACGUGAAACCCUGUGGGAAGCAGGAGGGACCACCCUCCAAGGCUAAAUACUACCUAGUGACCGAUAGCGUAUAGUACCGUGAGGGAAAGGUGAAAAGAACCCCGGGAGGGGAG